GAUGAACGCUAGCGGCAGGCUUAACACAUGCAAGUCGAGGGGUAUAACACUUCGGUGUUAGAGACCGGCGCACGGGUGCGUAACGCGUAUGUAAUCUACCUUUUACAGAGGGAUAGCCCAGAGAAAUUUGGAUUAAUACCUCAUGGUAUUAUGGAUAGGCAUCUAUUUAUAAUUAAAGAUUUAUCGGUAAAAGAUGAGCAUGCGUCCCAUUAGCUAGUUGGUAUGGUAACGGCAUACCAAGGCGACGAUGGGUAGGGGUCCUGAGAGGGAGAUCCCCCACACUGGUACUGAGACACGGACCAGACUCCUACGGGAGGCAGCAGGAAGGAAUAUUGGACAAUGGGCGCAAGCCUGAUCCAGCCAUGCCGCGUGCAGGAUGACUGCCCUAUGGGUUGUAAACUGCUUUUGUACAGGAAGAAACCCUUCUACGAGUAGAAGAUUGACGGUACUGUAAGAAUAAGGAUCGGCUAACUCCGUGCCAGCCGCCGCGGUAA
Molecule: ribosomal RNA, 494 nt
Filed under: uncultured bacterium
Lineage: Bacteria
Description: partial 16S ribosomal RNA
Rfam family: Bacterial small subunit ribosomal RNA
Source: RNAcentral